Molecule: small RNA, 1028 nt
Filed under: uncultured bacterium
Lineage: Bacteria
Description: bacterial SSU rRNA
Rfam family: Bacterial small subunit ribosomal RNA (bases 1-486)
Source: RNAcentral
AUGGCUGUCGUCAGCUCGUGUCGUGAGAUGUUGGGUUAAGUCCCGCAACGAGCGCAACCCUUACUUUUAGUUGCUACCAUUUAGUUGGGCACUCUAAAAGAACUGCCAGUGAUAAGCUGGAGGAAGGUGGGGAUGACGUCAAGUCCUCAUGGCCCUUACGUGUUGGGCUACACACGUGCUACAAUGGUACUUACAAUGAGAUGCGAAGAGGCGACUCUAAGCCAAUCCCAAAAAGGUACCUCAGUUCGGAUUGUACUCUGCAACUCGAGUACAUGAAGCUGGAAUUGCUAGUAAUCGCGGAUCAGCGCGCCGCGGUGAAUACGUUCCCGGGUCUUGUACACACCGCCCGUCACACCAUGGAAGUUGGUUACACCUUAAAGCAAAAUGUUAACCUUCGGGAAACAUUUGACUACGGUACGAUCAGCGACUGGGGUGAAGUCGUAACAAGGUAGCCGUAGGGGAACCUGCGGCUGGAUCACCUCCUUUCUAAGGAAAUCGAAAAAUAUUAAAACAAUUAUUUUCGAUUUAAAAAAAACCGGUAAUGUGACCGUCCUCAUUUCUCUUCUUUUAAUGUCUCUGAGUAAAAAUAUAGUGUAAGGGGCCGGUAGCUCAGGUGGUUAGAGCGCACCCCUGAUAAGGGUGAGGUCGGAAGUUCGAAUCUUCCUCGGCCCACCAAUAUUAUGGGGGAUUAGCUCAGCUGGGAGAGCGCCUGAUUUGCAUUCAGGAGGUCAGCGGUUCGAUCCCGCUAUCCUCCACCAACGAAUUGAGACAUUCAGCUUUUUUAAAUUGUAAAUAUUAUUAUUAUCAAUAUCUAUAUCCGAUUGUUUUCAGAUAUUUUUUUGAAAACAAUCAAAACAAAAAUUUAAUUUAUUACAGAAAAGUUUUUUUCUGUGCAUAAAUCAAGCGUUUAAGGGCGAUUGGCGGAUGCCUUGGCACUGUAAGACGAUGAAGGACGUGGUAUACUGCGAUAAGUUUCGGGGAGCCGUAUGCGGGCCUUGAUCCGAAAAUUUCCGAAUGGGGAAACCCGG